UACGUAGGGGCUAGCGUUAUCCGGAAUUACUGGGCGUAAAGGGUGCGUAGGUGGUUUCUUAAGUCAGAGGUGAAAGGCUACGGCUCAACCGUAGUAAGCCUUUGAAACUGGGAAACUUGAGUGCAGGAGAGGAGAGUGGAAUUCCUAGUGUAGCGGUGAAAUGCGUAGAUAUUAGGAGGAACACCAGUUGCGAAGGCGGCUCUCUGGUCUGUAACUGACACUGAGGCGCGAAAGCGUGGGGAGCAAACAGGAUUAGAUACCCCUGUAGUCCCUGAGCGGG
This 280-nucleotide ribosomal RNA is filed under the name uncultured prokaryote. Its description in RNAcentral is "partial 16S ribosomal RNA". It matches the Rfam family "Bacterial small subunit ribosomal RNA", at positions 524 to 803 of the family's 1533-position model. The record is from RNAcentral.